AAUCUCAGCUCUGGUGCUGGUCUGAUCUUCGAUUCUACACACCUGCUUAACUCCACCCUCACUGCAAUUAGUUUUCACUGGUUCCACCUGCUCUCACCUCCAUAAGAACCCUGUACAGAUCAGCUGCCAGUGCUAGUUUGUCUCAUCCCAUCUGUGCGAGCAUCCCAGCGUUUUUGUCCUGCCUGUCUAUCUGUUAACCUGACCAGAUCCUGCCUUUGAUUACUGAGCUUGCCUGUCCUUUGCCACCUCUGAGCCUGUUUGAAACCGAACCCUGACCGGACCUGGAUCAAGCCUGUUGGAUUUCCCUGUUUGCACUUUUGCUGGAUCUCUGCCUCCUCGAUAACGGAACCUGGACCUCCCCUGGAUUACUGUCCCUGGAAAGCCCCUAACGGAUCCCCUGCUCGUUCGUCCGCAAUCGGACCACUGCCCCCGGAUCAGUCCGCCUGCCUGUCUGCCGGCUCUCCGAGCUCUGCUCCCCCGACUCCAGGGGGUUACCAGACCGAGCACAAACUGUAGCGCCACGGGAUGCCGAGCCUCGUUUCCUCCCUCUUUAAUAAAGUCUUUAAACGUCA
This is a long non-coding RNA of Fundulus heteroclitus (mummichog), 572 nucleotides long. RefSeq lists it as uncharacterized. NCBI's taxonomy places the organism in Eukaryota, Metazoa, Chordata, Actinopteri, Cyprinodontiformes, Fundulidae. The record is from RefSeq and is a predicted model, not a curated record. The transcript is spliced from 2 exons.